Molecule: long non-coding RNA, 1112 nt
Organism: Gasterosteus aculeatus aculeatus (three-spined stickleback)
Lineage: Eukaryota; Metazoa; Chordata; Actinopteri; Perciformes; Gasterosteidae
Source: RefSeq, a predicted model, not a curated record
CGGGUGAAAUAUUGCUGCGCGCUCGUUUGAAUUUCUAUUUAUUUUUUGUGUGUGUGACGGCUGUGUGGGGAGACGAGGAGCCGAGCCUGUUGGCGCCACUUUCAAAUCCUCCACUGACACAGAAUGAGAGUCCGGCUCAAAUACAUUUUCCCACCAGCUUACUUCUCCUUUUAAUCAUUAAUAUAGGGUGAGGAAUAUCUUAACACAAUUUCACGUUUGGACCGUUUUUUCCCUGAAAGCAUCCAAAGUGAGGGGAGAAAGAUGGGCCUGGAGGUAACUGGUGUUCUUAGUGCCUCCAUCAGUUGCAAAUGAUCUCAGCAGCAGACGUCAGGUGUGGUGAUCACGGGCCAUGAAUCCUUCCUCUCCUGGCCUCAAAUGUUGUUUCAGCUUUGCAGUAGACAAAGGCAGCAGGUUUGGAGUCACAUUAUACAUCUAAUUUACACUGUAUCUAUUGCAUGUCAUUGUGGAAAAAACUGUUAAUUCAUUGACCAUUCUAAUUAGAUAAUUGAUACAUGUUUGGGCAACAACAAUUUGGUUUAAGUCUCUUAAAUAUGAGCAUUGAACUGUCUUAUAUCAUUCAAAAUUAAACAUGUUUGGAUUUUUGCCCACUGGUUCGACCAAACACGCAUUUAAAAACAUUGCUUUAGGAAUUCUGCAUUAUUUUGUUGAUAUCUUGAGAAUAAUUGAGUUAAUCAAGACAUGUGCAGAUGAAUUUCUAAUAUAACCAAAGGUUAGUUGCAGCCCAACUAAUGCUAUUUAUAGUCAAGUUUGAUGUUGAAAUGAGCUAUUCAUGUCAAACGAUAGAAAAUAUCACUAUUUUUAUUGAUGUCAUUUGUCAAGUAAAAAUGUUACAUUUGGCUAUGUCUGACAAAAAGUCAUUAUAUAAAUAAACAAACAUUGUUAUUUUUGUCUGUCCCUUAAACCAGAUAUGGUAGACUAGAUUUAUGUUUUUUUUUUAUAUAUUCCCUUUUAAAUUAUCCGACUUCAUUUGUCAAGUACUCUAAAGCAGACUCUGGAAUUUGAUCUAUUAACCAUUUCUCAAUUGAUUUCCCAGAAAUUGUAUGAUAUUACGAUAUACCUAUGAAAUGUAAAUAAAUUAAAAGAAUAUGAAA